Pristis pectinata (smalltooth sawfish) is the source of this 1399-nucleotide long non-coding RNA. RefSeq lists it as uncharacterized. Lineage: Eukaryota; Metazoa; Chordata; Chondrichthyes; Rhinopristiformes; Pristidae. The transcript has 5 exons. The record is from RefSeq and is a predicted model, not a curated record.
GAUUACAUAUCCAGCAAUUUAACUAUGAUGCCACAGUAUCCCAUAUCUCCCAAGAUGUUGCCCCUGGAUAGUCUAGUACCUGGACUGCAGCUUCAAAUGAUAACUACAAUCCCACUGCUCCCCUCAGAGUUGGGAAGAAGAAUUUUACACUGGAAUUACACACACAAAAUGCUGGAGGAACUCAGCAGCAUCUCACAAGCAUGCAACCUCGACCAUCUGAAAAGGCAAAAGCAGCAGGGAAGACGUCCAUUUGCAGUCACACACCAUCCUGACUUGGAACUACGUCGCUAUUUCUACAUCAUCAUGAGUCUUCAUUCCAGCACUGAAGUAUUUCCACUGGAAGAUUUCUGGUGAUUCCACAUGGCUGCUCACCUCCUCUUCUCACAGUUCCAGCAGCCAGAGCAGCAGAGGGGAGGAACCAGCAGUUUUUUUAAAAAGUUGUCUCUGAUUGGCUAAGUGUGUGGCAACUCAGCCAGUAAAAGGAAGAUCUUUUACAUCAAGAAGACAGACCAGGCCUCCACUGGAAUCUCACCAGAAUCACAGCACUUCCAGCAGCUUAGCACUCCUUCCAUACUGCACCGGCAGAGUCAGCUCGAACAUAGAACAUAGAACAGUAUGGCACAGAACAGGCCCUUCAGCCCACAAUGUUAUGCCGAUAGAGCUAAUCCCUCCUACCUACAGAAUGCCCAUCUCCCUCCAUUUUCCUCUCAUUCAUGUGCCCAUCUAAGCCCCUGUUAAAAGCCCCCAAUGAAUUUGCCUCCACCACCCUAUCAGGAAUGCAUUCCAGGCAUCCACCACUCUCUGAGUAAAAAACUUACCCCUCACGUCUAUUCUGAACCUACCCCCUCUCACAUUGAAUGUAUGCCCUCUGGUAUUGGAUCGCCCAAUAAUGGGAAGAAGAUAUUGCUUGUCCACCCUAUCUAUGCCCCUCAUAAUUUUAUACAUUUCCAAAAGAUCGCCCCUCAGCUCUGCCGCUCCAGAGAAAAGAGCCCAAGUUUGUCCAGCCUCUCCUGAUAGCUCAUGCCCUCUAAUCCAGGCAGCAUCCUAGUAAACCUCCUCUGCACCCUCUCUAAAGCCUCGACAUCCUUCCUAUAGUGAGGUGACCAGAACUGCAUGCAAUUUUGCUCUUCAACUUUGCUCUUCAAAUCUUCAGAGAAAUCAGCUGCCAGAAGAAAAAUGUACAGUGGAGAGCAUUCUGACUGGUUGCAUCACCACCUGGUAUGGAGGCUCCAAUGUACAGUAUUGAAGGAGGCUGCAGAGGGUUGUAGACUCAGCCAGCUCCAUCACGGGCACAGCCCUCACCACCAUCGAGGAUAUCUUCAAGAGGUGGUGCAUCAAGAAGGCGGCAUCCAUCAUUAAGGACCCUCACCAUCCAGGACAUGCCCUCUUCUCAUUACUA